RNAcentral lists this ribosomal RNA (253 nucleotides) under uncultured bacterium. Its description in RNAcentral is "partial 16S ribosomal RNA". It matches the Rfam family "Bacterial small subunit ribosomal RNA", at positions 524 to 776 of the family's 1533-position model. The record is from RNAcentral.
UACGUAGGGGGCAAGCGUUGUCCGGAAUCAUUGGGCGUAAAGAGCGUGUAGGCGGUUCGGUAAGUCGGCUGUGAAAGUCCAGGGCUCAACCCUGGGAUGCCGGUCGAUACUGCCGGACUAGAGUUCGGAAGAGGCGAGUGGAAUUCCCAGUGUAGCGGUGAAAUGCGCAGAUAUCGGGAGGAACACCUAUGGCGAAGGCAGCUCGCUGGGACGUUACUGACGCUGAGACGCGAAAGCGUGGGGAGCAAACAGG